UACCAACCAAAAAAAGUCCAGGACCAGAUGGAUUCACAGCUGUGGUCCCAGCUACUUGGGAGGCUGAGGCAGGAGAAUCGCUUGAACCCUGGAGGUGGAGAUUGCAGUGAGCUGAGAUCACACUGCUGCACUCCAGCCUGGGAAACAGAGGGAGACUCUAUCUCAAAAAAAAAAAAAAAAGAAAAGAAAAAAGAAAAGAAAAAAAGUGGUUUACAAUCAGCUGCAGUCCAAAGUUUAUCUUUUCUUCAAGGAAAUUCAUGGAAAGGACACUGAGAAGUACUCUUGAAUACAGGUUUCUAAUAAACUUAGAGAUCAUACCAUUGGACUAGGUAAAAACUUCCACAACACUAAUGAAAAACUGAUGCAUUCAUGAAGAUUUCUAAUCCAGCAUCAGGCAUUACAAUAAUUAAUUACACCGGACUGAAAUUAUUUUUAUGACUUUUUUGUUGAAACAUUGCUAACUCUUUUUGUUUUGUUUUCGAGAGUUAAGAAAACUUUUGUUUUUUUUUUUUUGAGAUGGAGUUUCG
RNAcentral lists this long non-coding RNA (527 nucleotides) under Homo sapiens (human). RNAcentral describes it as "non-protein coding lnc-CRYAA-7:1". Lineage: Eukaryota; Metazoa; Chordata; Mammalia; Primates; Hominidae. The record is from RNAcentral.